ACUCAAAUGAAUAGACGGGGGCCCGCACAAGCAGCGGAGCGUGUGGUUUAAUUCGAGGUUACGCGAAGAACCUUACCAGGGUUUGACAUGCAGGUAGUAGGGAUCCGAAAGGUGACCGACCCUUCGGGGAGCCUGCACAGGUGCUGCAUGGCUGUCGUCAGCUCGUGCCGUGAGGUGUCCGGUUAAGUCCGGUAACGAGCGCAACCCUUACUCUGUGUUACAUGUGUCACAGGGGACUGCCGGUAUCAAGCCGGAGGAAGGUGGGGAUGACGUCAAGUCCGCAUGGCCUUUAUGCCCUGGGCUACACACACGCUACAAUGGCCGGUACAAUGGGUCGCAAAGCCGCGAGGCGGAGCCAAUCCACAAAGCCGGUCUCAGUUCGGAUCGUAGGCUGCAACCCGCCUACGUGAAGUCGGAGUUGCUAGUAACCGCAGGUCAGCACUACUGCGGUGAAUACGUUCCCGGGCCUUGUACACACCGCCCGU
Molecule: ribosomal RNA, 485 nt
Filed under: uncultured bacterium
Lineage: Bacteria
Description: partial 16S ribosomal RNA
Rfam family: Bacterial small subunit ribosomal RNA
Source: RNAcentral